GAUGAACGCUGGCGGCGUGCCUAAUACAUGCAAGUCGAGCGAACAGACGAGGAGCUUGCUCCUCUGACGUUAGCGGCGGACGGGUGAGUAACACGUGGAUAACCUACCUAUAAGACUGGGAUAACUUCGGGAAACCGGCGCUAAUACCGGAUAAUAUAUUGAACCGCAUGGUUCAAUAGUGAAAGACGGUUUUGCUGUCACUUAUAGAUGGAUCCGCGCCGCAUUAGCUAGUUGGUAAGGUAACGGCUUACCAAGGCAACGAUGCGUAGCCGACCUGAGAGGGUGAUCGGCCACCCGGGAACUGAGACACGGUCCAGACUCCUACGGGAGGCAGCAGUAGGGAAUCUUCCGCAAUGGGCGAAAGCCUGACGGAGCAACGCCGCGUGAGUGAUGAAGGUCUUCGGAUCGUAAAACUCUGUUAUUAGGGAAGAACAAAUGUGUAAGUAACUAUGCACGUAUUGACGGUACCUAAUCAGAAAGCCACGGCUAACUACGUG
Molecule: ribosomal RNA, 497 nt
Filed under: uncultured bacterium
Lineage: Bacteria
Description: partial 16S ribosomal RNA
Rfam family: Bacterial small subunit ribosomal RNA
Source: RNAcentral